AAGUUGAAGUCUGCAGGUUUGGCCAAUGCAAACAAGUGGAGCAUGUAGAUCACAUGGCAACGACCGUGUCUGAAAAGUAUGAAGUGGCUGAGUGGCAUAAAAAAUGCUGUAUUUCCAAACAGAAGACCGCACUUACUCUCAAGGCCGCCACGCUUUGAUGGAGCCAAGGUCACACGCACAAAUGCCUCUAUGCAAUACAGGCUACUUGCAAUAUCGCUAGCCAUGGCACGACUUCAGGUGAAUCACCUAAUGCCGAAUAUGCAAACGUGCCACUGGAAUUCAUCUUUUGGUGGCACAGCCACAGUUACUUUUAAAAUUUCACACAUCAACUGAGCAGUCUCUGCAAUUAUGUUGCUACAUGUAGUUAGAGAACAGUUAAAAAGGUGACUCAAGAAUGCAGCGGAAAUAUGCUUCAAUUUCACCAAUGUCAAUGCAAUUGUUUUUACACAUAACUGGUGCCGUCCUGAAAGUGGAUGAAUUUUUGUGUAGCACGUCACACGAGCAUUCAGAACAUCGAAUGAUGGCAGGCCCGUGAAUGUAUUUACGUUGCUACUAUUUAUCGUGUUCACAAACUUCUGUGGAAAAGUACCCGAUGUCACUUGGGCAGCCUUGUCCGUGAAGCCGUUUCUAGUAGGAAAUUUGCCACGUCUUUUUCUUCUCUUGAGUACUCUGCCAUUAUGUCUGGAAGUCAGGUUGGCAAGCACAUUCCUGUCACAAAACAAAAGCAAGAGUUGUAAUGUCUGACAUAUCUGACGCGAAAUGCAGCUUCUUUUUGUCAUUCCAAUAAUGCACGUCAAUGUAUUAAAUUCAAUGUUGGAAGUAGGAAAGCCAGGCUUUUUGCAUCAGUUAAUUUGCACCCAUCACACACCACAAUCCUUUCACGAAGUUAAUCCAGAAAACAUGCUGCCGGCUAGGUAAAGACAGCUACCACAUCACAAAUAUAUAGAAAAAAUAAAUUGCCAUAUUUGCUAUGUCCUUGUCCCUUAUGGUGUUUGCAAGGCUUUCGUCCAUGCUGUUAGGGGAUGGGAAAUCGUCCUGCAAUGUCAGGUAGAGUUCAGUUCAAGAAACCAGUGGUUAAGCAAUGUGUGCACAAGUUGCAAUUAAUGUGCACCCAUCACACACCACGUACUACAAUGCUUUUACGAUGUAAAUCCAGAAAGCAUGCCACCGUCUAGGUAAAGACAGCUACCACAACACAUACAUAUACAAAAAGAAAUUACCAUAUUUCCAUUGUCACUUAUUUGGUCCAUGCUGUUGCGGUCAGGGGAUGGGAGAUCGUCCUGCAAUGUCAGAGUUUAAUCCCAAGGAAUUAGUGGUGAAGCAAUGUGUGCACAAGUUGCAGGCAGCCAAUUUACCAUGGUGGUCGUGCUGACAGGUGCAUGGGGCAACACCUUUGCUUCUAAUGGGGAGGCAACAGUUUCUUUGCUUGAUUCAUUCUGUAAUGCAUUAAAAGGUGUUGACAUCUAUUGCAUGCUUGUAGACAUGGUGUAUGUACCAUAAGCAUAUAAGUGCUGCACCAUGUAGUCAAAUUAACUUACUCUGGCUGACCGAUACACACGUCGGCGAAGUCUUGCCAGUGAAAGCUCUUUCAUAUGAGCAUCCUUGUUCUCAUCAUAACAUGACGUCCUUGGCAGGUUUUCAGUUGGUACUGCAUUUUUUUCAGCCACUGUCUUUGACAUGCUACAUCUGAAAAAAGAAAUGAAUUGUUUAUGCUUUA
Molecule: non-coding RNA, 1717 nt
Organism: Dermacentor albipictus
Lineage: Eukaryota; Metazoa; Arthropoda; Arachnida; Ixodida; Ixodidae
Source: RefSeq, a predicted model, not a curated record